Phyllostomus hastatus (greater spear-nosed bat) is the source of this 1528-nucleotide long non-coding RNA. RefSeq lists it as uncharacterized. The record is from RefSeq and is a predicted model, not a curated record. The transcript has 3 exons. Lineage: Eukaryota; Metazoa; Chordata; Mammalia; Chiroptera; Phyllostomidae.
CACCUCGGCUUUCUCGGCAGAGCCAGCACACCCAGCACACCCUGCCGCCACCAGCGUGGCUGGGAUGGAGGAGCGGCUCUGGGGAGGACGCCGAGGCUGCUCCGGAGCGAGCCCUUAGGGAAACCAUGAAGUAACCCUGCACAUUCCAGUAACACAGUUAUGACAAAACAGAGCCCAACUAUGAAGUGAUCAAAUUUUUUUAAAUGUUAAGAAAGAAAAACAGCACAAACAAACGUGCACAUAACAAUUCAAGAUUUCUUUAAAAAAAAAAGAAAAGAAAAGAAAGUAACUUACCUGUUGGGACAUUCUGAAUAAAAGUCUGCAGACCGAGAAAUCACAAUAAUACUUGAAAUUACUGCCGGGAAGAAAGAUUGAAGAUUCACAGACACCCAAGAAAUCCAACGCUGCUUUUAGAACUAUCACAAAAAGCCCCUCUGUUGAUGGAACCCCCUUAUAUGAAAUUCACAGACCUAAAAAAUAUACUUAAAAAGUGUAAUAAUGCCAGUAUACUUGGUUUUAAAGUCUUCAGGAAACCACAGAGACUAUUUUAUAUACAUAUAUUUUUAAUGAAAUGUUUAAACAAAGCAAAUUUGAAUGGACCUGGAAAGUGUUUUCAAAAUUAAGAAUCCCAGAACACGCCAGAAGCUCUUUAACAGCAAGUUAAAAAUGUAAAGAAUUAACAGGUGGCUUAGGUCUGAAUAGUAAUGAUCUUCUCCAGUGGCAGGUAGUUGCUGCAAGAGGCACAAAGAAGCUUAUGUGGUCCAGGUGAUAUUCUGUAUCUCCAUCUACUUGGUGGUUCUGGAGAUGAUAGCUUUAUAAAAAUUCAUCAAGCUGCAUACAUAUAUGAUUUUUGCACUCUUCUAUAUGCAUGUUAUACUUCAGUUCUAAAAGUUUGCUACUGCUACUGUUAAUGGUAAUACUACUAAAAAUAGUGGUAAUAAUUUAGAACUACGUUUAAGAAAGAAAAGUGAAGGAAAAGAAAAAAUGAAAGUGGUAGAGAAGGGACAGAAAAAGGCAGAUACUUUAUUAACAUCAAAAUUCAUUCAAGUAACUGUCAUUAAAUGUACUGCUCGCUGGCAACAAGUUUUUCAAAGCUACGAAGUGUUAGGAAUCAUGUAAAUAUCUGAGUUUAACAGAAUGAGGAUGAAUGUGAAAGACAGUAAGUGGGCAGGAGAAAAUAUGUAAUUAGGUGAGUGAUACCUUAACUAGGCAAUGCAAUGUAUCCAAGAGCCUUAAAUGGAAAUGAACACCAUACCUCAAUUUGAAAAGCACCAACCUCACAAUUUAGGAUCCUUAAACGUGCUCACAAGUCUGGCUCAUUGAGCCUGUCUUCUGAUUUAUAAUUAUGGCUAUUUGGGGGGUGGGUAAUUUGGAGUAGGCAUUGAGUGUGCCUAUAGAGAGACUGGGGAGGAAAGUACUCUCCAGACAGUACUACUUAGAGGCACUAAGUUCAAGACAUAUUUUUUAAAGCAAUUGUAAAUAAAACACUCUGACCAUCCAAACCCUUUUUAAAAGUUAAAUCUCAAAG